UUGGUGGCUCACACCUGUAAUCCCAGAACUUUGGGAGGCCGAGGAGGGCGGAUCAUGAGGUUAGGAGAUCGGGACCAUCCUGGCUAACACGGUGAAACCCGUCUCUACUAAAAACACAAAAAAUUAGCUGGGCGUGGUGGUGGGAACCUGUAGUCCCAGCUACUUGGGAAGCUGAGGUAGGAGAAUGGCGCUUAUCUCUGUGCUCAUGUGAACAGCAUCAUGAAUAUCAGUGUGACUUGACUGCUGUCCAGCUCAGAAAAAUGCUUAGUCUAGAAACACUAAAGAAUUUUAUUUUCUUUCCCAUAUCCUGACUUUAUGCUCACCGAGUAUAAUAGGUUCUUAAUAAAGUCAUUUCUAUCCCAGAAACUGUAAAUAUAAAUCUACAUUUUUCAUGAAUAAGCAGGCAUAUAGUUUAUUCAACAUUUAUGUCUGAAAUUGGUCAGUAUAGCCUAAUAGUUAACAU
RNAcentral lists this long non-coding RNA (463 nucleotides) under Pan troglodytes (chimpanzee). RNAcentral's name for it is "long non-coding RNA NONPTRT014151". The record is from RNAcentral. Lineage: Eukaryota; Metazoa; Chordata; Mammalia; Primates; Hominidae.